GCAGUGGUGGUUCGCUGGAAGAAUUCUCGCCUCCCAUGCGGGAGACCUGGGUUUGAUUCCUGGCCAAGGCA
This 71-nucleotide transfer RNA is filed under the name Loxodonta africana (African savanna elephant). It matches the Rfam family "tRNA". Rfam says of the family: Transfer RNA (tRNA) molecules are approximately 80 nucleotides in length. Their secondary structure includes four short double-helical elements and three loops (D, anti-codon, and T loops). Further hydrogen bonds mediate the characteristic L-shaped molecular structure. tRNAs have two regions of fundamental functional importance: the anti-codon, which is responsible for specific mRNA codon recognition, and the 3' end, to which the tRNAs corresponding amino acid is attached (by aminoacyl-tRNA synthetases). tRNAs cope with the degeneracy of the genetic code in two manners: having more than one tRNA (with a specific anti-codon) for a particular amino acid; and 'wobble' base-pairing, i.e. permitting non-standard base-pairing at the 3rd anti-codon position. Lineage: Eukaryota; Metazoa; Chordata; Mammalia; Proboscidea; Elephantidae. The record is from Rfam by way of RNAcentral.